UACGUAGGGUGCAAGCGUUGUCCGGAAUUAUUGGGCGUAAAGCGUGUGUAGGCGGGUGCCUAAGUACCUUGUGAAAUCCCACGGCUCAACCGUGGAACUGCUGGGUAUACUGGGCGCCUUGAGCCACUUAGGGGCUACCGGAACAAAUGGUGGAGCGGUGAAAUGCGUAGAUAUCAUUUGGAACGCCAAUGGUGAAAACAGGUAGCUGGGAGUGUGCUGACGCUGAGACACGAAAGCCAGGGGAGCGAACGGG
This 253-nucleotide ribosomal RNA is filed under the name uncultured bacterium. Its description in RNAcentral is "partial 16S ribosomal RNA". It matches the Rfam family "Bacterial small subunit ribosomal RNA", at positions 524 to 776 of the family's 1533-position model. The record is from RNAcentral.